RNAcentral lists this non-coding RNA (607 nucleotides) under Tequatrovirus T4. The record is from RNAcentral. Lineage: Duplodnaviria; Heunggongvirae; Uroviricota; Caudoviricetes; Pantevenvirales; Straboviridae.
UGCGUAAAAUGCGCCUUUAAACGGUAACGUUUAUCGAAAACUCCUUUAAUUGCUGGAAAGUCCUUUAUGGAAAACUAGCAGCCAAGGUUUUGCUUGCACCUUUAAUUAGUAUAAUAUAAAUAUGAUUAUACUUUUAAGAGGAUGCACAAUUGAACUAUAGAAAAAUUUGGAUAGAUGCUAACGGACCUAUACCUAAAGAUUCUGAUGGAAGAACAUAAGAAAAGAACAUCAGCAAAAACAUUAGAAAUGGUUAAGAACGGGACCCAUCCUGCACAAAAAGAAAUCACAUGUGAUUUCUGUGGUCACAUUGGUAAAGGUCCUGGAUUUUAUCUAAAACAUAAUGACAGAUGUAAAUUAAAUCCAAAUAGAAUUCAAUUGAAUUGUCCAUAUUGUGAUAAGAAAGAUUUAUCACCAUCAACAUAUAAACGAUGGCACGGCGACAAUUGCAAAACAAGGUUCAACGACUAGUCUUCGGACGUAGGGUCAAGCGACUCGAAAUGGGGAGAAUCCCUCCGGGAUUGUGAUAUAGUCUGGACUGCAUGGUAACAUGCAGCAGUUCAUAAGAGAACGGGUUGAGAAUUAGCGAGCUCAAUCGAACAUACGGUAC